CACUCCUCCCACCAUUCAGUACAUUGAGUUACUCCAGCGGCGAAUGCAUCCCGAAGAGAUACGCGGAGAGAGCGUCAAAGAGAGACCCCGCACAGGACGGAGUGGCUGAAAACGGGAAGAAGACUUUUUCUCCUUUUUUUUUUUAUCUAGAGGUGAAAGAACCGCCCGCUCUGUACCGGCUCUUUUUUCUCCCCUUCCUUUGUUUUCGUUGUAAAACUUCGGCUCAGUCAGCAUUUACCGGUGAGCCUCCCACCCCUACCUCUCCCACACGGGUUGUCCCCAUUUCACUCACGAGGGGCAAUUUACCGGAAAACUCUCAACUUUUGCUGCGGACCUGCAAAGUAACUGUAAAAAUAAUAAUAAUAAUAAAAACAUUGUCAGCAGUCCCAAGACAGGGUACUCGGUAGCCAGUGGGAUGUUAGAGCCCUGGAAGCAGGACUGACUGAAGGAGCAUGGUGAAACACCAACCCCUGCAGGUCUAUGAGCGCCAGCUGUGUUUGUCAUGUAUCACUGGGAUCUACGGUUGCCGAUGGAAACGCUAUCAGCGUUCCCAUGAUGACACCACCAAGUGGGAGCUGCUGUGGUCCCUCAUCCUCCUCUUUACCUUCUGUCUGCUGCUCGGCUGGUUCUACUUCUGGUGGGAGGCACACAACGACUACAAUGAAUUCAACUGGUUUCUAUACAACCGCUCUGGGGAGUGGAGCGAUGGCACCGUUCCCAUCCUGGCCACCACCGCUGCCGGCUUCACCUACGUUGCAUUUUUAAUGGUUUUAGCGCUGUGCCACAUUGCACUUGGGCAACAGUUGAAUUUGCACUGGCUCCAUAAGAUUGGAGUGACGGCUGCUUUGCUCACCACCAUCGUCGGGGUCAUAUCUGUCAAUCAAACAUGGGGUCAAGAGUGGGAUGUCAUCCCCAUCUCCCUGCAGGCUACAGGUCCCUUUCUUCACAUCGGGGCUCUUGCUGCGGUCACAGCGCUGUCUUGGAUUGUGGCUGGACAGGUCGCCCGUUCAGAAAAAACAAUUUUGCAGGUGGUGGUGGUGCUGCUGUAUUUCAGUGUGUUACUUGGACUCUACAUGGUGCCCCUGUAUAUCACCUCCCCCUGCAUCAUGGAGCCAGAGGACCUCAAACCACGGCCUGAUGUUAUUGGCCACCAGGGAGCCCCCAUGCUUGCUCCAGAGAACACAGUGCAGUCGUUCCACCUAGCUCUGCAGAUGAACGUCACUGGGCUGGAAGCCGACGUCGCUAUCAGUUUGGACGGCGUGCCUUUCCUGAUGCACGACCGGACCCUGCAGAGGACUACAGACGUAGAGAAGGUUUUUCCAGACCGUCAGAUGGACGAGGCCUCACACUUUAACUGGACGGAUCUUCAGCAGCUCAACGCUGGUCAGUGGUUCCUCGAGGAUGACCCCUUUUGGACAGUGCACGGUCUGUCCGAGCGAGAGCGGGAGCUAAUCGCUAACCAGAGUGUGUGCAGCCUGGAGCAGCUCCUAAAGUUGGCCUCAUAUCACAACAGCACAGUGGUUUUCAGGCUGCAGAGGCCUCCUCCAGAUCACCCCUGUUUCCAAAGUUGGAUCAACGAUACACUGCAAACUGUACAGCGGUCCGGGUUUCCUGAGAGCCUGGUGAUGUGGACUCCCGAUGAGCACAGAGCUGAGGUGAGGCAGCUGGCACCUGGUCUGAUCCAGACCUCGGUGGAGAAACAGAGCGUUCAAAGUCUUCAUCAGGACGGCAUCAGCAGGCUGCUGCUCAGAUACAACCAACCCAGCCCGGUGGAAAUCAGAAACUUCUCUGAGCAUAACAUCAACCUCACCCUCUACACGGUCAACGAGCCCUGGCUGUACUCUGUGCUCUGGUGUAGCGGCGUUUCUUCAGUCUCCUCAGAGGCCCCACAUAUUCUCAAAAAGGUGCCUUACCCCAUCUGGCUCAUGAGACCAAAUGAGUACUGCCUGAUGUGGGUGUCUGCAGACCUCCUCUCUUUUGUAGUAGUCAUAGGAGUAUUCGUUUUGCAGAACUAUCACAUGAUCAGGUAUCGGAUGAGCGGCAUGCGCAGCUACAACCCCGAGCAGAUCAUGCUGAGCGCUGCGGUCGGGAGGUCCAGUCGAGACAUCAACGUCAUGAAGGAGAAACUCAUCUUCUCUGGUCACCCCCAGUAACCGCCCUCCAUCCUUUGUGUGAUGUGCAGCACCUCCUGUCCAUCCUACCACACCCCCACCUCCGAGCAGUGACUUCUUCCUUUAUUCCGUGCAUCCAUUGCAUCCUACGUUGCCUUCCACCGCUCUGCCCACUUUGCCCCUUUCCCCUUUAUCCAUCCAUCCAUCCAUUCGUCCAUCCAUCCCUUCACACACACACUCUCCCACAAUCCCCCCAGUGGAACCAGCACUGUGUAGUGAUGCUCAUUGUAGUCUAGAAAGCCUCUAGUGCUGGGGUCAAAGAGGUGGGGAACGGAGUUGGCAGUGCUGAGGAGCUGUAUGGCGACAACGGUUACGACUACUACACCAACCAGGGCAUCAGCCAGUGAUUGAAACAGAAGAAGCUUGUAGCCAGAUGGAACAAGGACCCUCAGUGUUCACAUCCUUCCUGUGUAUCAGCGUAAAGUCUUUUCUCCCCUCUGAUUGGCCAGACUGAUGAGCUGACAGUCUGCCGUACCUGGCAGAGACGCCUCCUGCCCAGCUGCUUUGUGUACAUUCUGUAAAUAUAGUUUAUUUUUUUUUUCUUGUCACAGAACUACAAGCACUUUUUAUUGAUGGAAUUCUCCAGGUCUGUGGCCUCUUUCUCUCAUAUCCGAAUGUCCAAGAGUCCCCAGUCUGAGUUACUAUUGCCUGCUACUGUUUCUAGAGUCUUUAUCUUAAGCUAAUUUUCCAAAGCAUUUCAUGGUUUAAAGCGCUGUAUAUGAUACUCUUCUCUUAGCAGAUGGAUUUCUUUUAAAUAAUUCUUUAUCGAUUGCAGCAUGCUCAUCAUGCUCCUUUCAUCACUCCACAGUGCUGCAGCUCAGAGCAGUACUACUAUUAAUAUUUGUAUUUAAAGAAAAAGAAGAAAAAAAAGGAAAAAACACACACACAAACAAGCUGUUUACAGAAGUCCUGCCUUCUCCUCCAGGUGAAAUAUUCACGUGGUGUAUGUAAGAUAAUUAUUCGUCGUACUUUUGACCAGUGCAUGUGACUGUAAGGAUCAACUGACCUGUGUGAGCUGUGCUCCCAGAGGAACUGGUGAAAAUGGUUCAAGGGAUUAAGAUUUGCUCUGUGUUUUUAUGGUGAAUGCGUACUGAUUAUUGUAUUUCUUUUUUUUUGUUUUGUUUUGUUUGUUUUCUUUUUAAACAUGUGUACAGUGUAUUGUGUGUCUUCGGGCUGGUUAUGUAUUUUUACCCUGUGUGCAGUGCUACGCUGAACUGUUGUGUAUAAAGAGUGAACCAAUGUGUGAGACGCUCCAGCCAAUACUAACUACAUCUGAACCACGGGGACAGUUUAAUAACUACAAUAGCAAUAGCCCGCUCUUGAUGGAUUGAUAAUUCUCACAAUGCCUUUGAAUUGUAGUUAAGCCUGUGGUAUUUUAGUGAUGACAAAUUAAGUGUUGGUUGCUGGUGUUAUGCUGAAUGCUGUGAGGUAAAUGAAGUGGGUGCUAAAUGUGAAAAUAAAGCUACUCUGAGCUAAGUGAAGGGAUGCUACAGGUAUCACAACAGGCAGCACGGGUCAGGAAAUGAUUGCCUUUGUGUUUCUUUUCUUUCAUUUGGGUAUUACUGUGCCUCAGAACUAAACAUUAAAAACAGAUGUUUUAUAGUUGA
This is an RNA transcript of Mugil cephalus (flathead mullet), 3778 nucleotides long. It is a transcript of the gene named glycerophosphodiester phosphodiesterase domain containing 5b, with no coding region annotated. NCBI's taxonomy places the organism in Eukaryota, Metazoa, Chordata, Actinopteri, Mugiliformes, Mugilidae. The record is from RefSeq and is a predicted model, not a curated record. The transcript has 18 exons.